UAAAUAUUUAAAUUGUAAGUAAUUGUGGUAUAUAAACUUGGUACACUUGCUUGAUGUAGUAGCUAUAAAAUUAUAGAACUGAAAAAUUGGAAAUUUUUAAGUGAGUUAUUAAUGCAAAUAGAAGACAAUUUUUGGAUAAUGCAAUUCUAACUUAGGUCUUAAUACAAAAUACGUUCGAUAAAUGCAAACUGCUAAAUCUGUAAAAAUAUGGCAUAUUCGAAAAUGACAGUGUUAUACUUAAAGUUCUUAAAAGGAAUUUUUAAGUAUUUUUUAUAAUUGCUGCAAAAAUAUUAUAAAUUAGAAAUAAUAAGAGAAGAAUAUAAAAAAUAUUGCAUAUUGAAGAAUUAUUCGAGUAUACGAGAAUUAUAAAUCGGCAAAUGCAAAAUAUUCAUUUUCUGCAUGGAUUUGCAUUCAUAUGAGAAAUUCUGAUUAUUUAUAUGUAUAUAAAAUAUAUCAAUAUAUAUCAUCCCAUAGAUCUAUAUAUAUAUGAAUUGCAUUUGGCAUAUAUGAACGUACAAUAAUAAAAAACAAAAACAGCAUUUAGCUUAUUAUAACAGGUGCAAAUAUCUACAGCGUAUAUAUAUAUAUCCAUAAUAUUUCUAAUGAAAUUUAAUACAAUUGUUACGUAAUGCAACUUAAUUAUAAAAUAUAUUUACUGGUUAUAUUCACUAUAAUAUUAUGGUUAUAAUUAUGAUGAAAAUAAUUUUCAAGUAAUUAGUUGCAUUAGAAAUUUUUAACGAGAUGUAACGAAGAAAAUAUUCAUUAAAAUAUAUAAAUUAAUUAUAUUGGAAUAAAAUACAUCAUGAUGAAGAAAGAAAUUUUCAAACAACAAACUUUAGUCGGAGACUAUAUUUUACAAUUAAUUAUGCGAAAAUUCAAAAAAAUUAAUUUGAAAUUAUUUUGUCGGCCCAAAGAUGUCGCUAUAAAAGAUGCCAAUAAUAAAAAUGUUACAUUUAAAAAAAUUAAUUCUAAAAAUAAACAUAUUAAUUUUCCAUAUUCAAUGAAAUGUUGUGGACCAUUUAUUAAAUUUCCAAAUAAUAAUAAUUUUUUGUAAUAAAAUGAAUGUUUGAUAUUAUUAAAAUAUUAAU
Long non-coding RNA from Condylostylus longicornis, 1088 nucleotides. RefSeq lists it as uncharacterized. NCBI's taxonomy places the organism in Eukaryota, Metazoa, Arthropoda, Insecta, Diptera, Dolichopodidae. The record is from RefSeq and is a predicted model, not a curated record. The transcript has 4 exons.